GGUUACUUAGCAGUAGUGGUUAAGAGUGGUAGACUCGUAAUCUGGUGAACUGGGUUCGAUUCCCCGCUUCUCCA
Podarcis lilfordi (Lilford's wall lizard) is the source of this 74-nucleotide non-coding RNA. Lineage: Eukaryota; Metazoa; Chordata; Lepidosauria; Squamata; Lacertidae. The record is from the annotation of a GenBank genome assembly.